CCCUUAGAUGUUCUGGGCUGCACGCGCGCUACACUGAUGCGCUCAACGAGUUUACGACCUUGCCCGGAAGGGUUGGGUAAUCUUUUUAAAACGCAUCGUGAUGGGGAUAGAUUAUUGCAAUUAUUAAUCUUUAACGAGGAAUUCCUAGUAAGCGCGAGUCAUCAGCUCGUGCUGAUUACGUCCCUGCCCUUUGUACACACCGCCCGUCGCUCCUACCGAUUGGAUGGUCCGGUGAAGCCUCGGGAUUGUGGUUCUUGCCGCUUUAUUGUGGCGUGACCGCGAGAACUUGUCUAAACCUUAUCAUCUAGAGGAAGGUGAAGUCGUAACA
Molecule: ribosomal RNA, 328 nt
Filed under: uncultured eukaryote
Lineage: Eukaryota
Description: partial 18S ribosomal RNA
Rfam family: Eukaryotic small subunit ribosomal RNA
Source: RNAcentral